Molecule: ribosomal RNA, 468 nt
Filed under: uncultured bacterium
Lineage: Bacteria
Description: partial 16S ribosomal RNA
Rfam family: Bacterial small subunit ribosomal RNA
Source: RNAcentral
GACGAACGCUGGCGGCGUGCUUAACACAUGCAAGUCGAACGGAAAGGCCCUGCUUUUGUGGGGUGCUCGAGUGGCGAACGGGUGAGUAACACGUGAGUAACCUGCCCUUGACCUUGGGACAACUUCAGGAAACUGGGGCUAAUACCGGAUAGGAGCUCCUGCUGCAUGGUGGGGGUUGGAAAGUUUCGGCGGUUGGGGAUGGACUCGCGGCUUAUCAGCUUGUUGGUGGGGUAGUGGCUUACCAAGGCUUUGACGGGUAGCCGGCCUGAGAGGGUGACCGGCCACAUUGGGACUGAGAUACGGCCCAGACUCCUACGGGAGGCAGCAGUGGGGAAUAUUGCACAAUGGGCGGAAGCCCGAUGCAGCAACGCCGCGUGCGGGAUGACGGCCUUCGGGUUGUAAACCGCUUUCGCCUGUGACGAAGCGUGAGUGACGGUAAUGGGUAAAGAAGCACCGGCUAACUACGUG